GAACGAACGCUGGCGGCGCGUCUUAAGCAUGCAAGUCGAACGGCAAGAGGUAGCAAUACCUCCUAGAGUGGCGGACUGGUGAGUAACACGUGGGUGACAUACCCUUCAGAUGGGGAUAGCUAUUAGAAAUAGUAGAUAAUACCGAAUACGAGCACAGGGGUUAGAGAUCUGUGAGGAAAGGAGCUAAGGCUCCGCUGAAGGAAUGGCCUGCGGCCCAUUAGCUAGUUGGUGAGGUAAGAGCCCACCAAGGCGAUGAUGGGUAUCCGGCCUUAGAGGGUGAACGGACACAUUGGGACUGAGAUACGGCCCAGACUCCUACGGGAGGCAGCAGCUAAGAAUAUUCCGCAAUGGACGAAAGUCUGACGGAGCGACGCCGCGUGGAUGAAAGAAGGCCGGAAGGUUGUAAAAUCCUUUUGAAACUGAAGAAUAAGCGUUGUAGGGAAUGACAGCGUGGUGACAGUAGGUUUUGAAUAAGCAACGGCUAAUUACGUGCCAGCAGCAGC
This 503-nucleotide ribosomal RNA is filed under the name uncultured bacterium. RNAcentral's name for it is "bacterial SSU rRNA". It matches the Rfam family "Bacterial small subunit ribosomal RNA", at positions 27 to 518 of the family's 1533-position model. The record is from RNAcentral.